Molecule: ribosomal RNA, 1353 nt
Filed under: Sphingobacterium mizutaii
Lineage: Bacteria; Pseudomonadati; Bacteroidota; Sphingobacteriia; Sphingobacteriales; Sphingobacteriaceae
Description: bacterial SSU rRNA
Rfam family: Bacterial small subunit ribosomal RNA
Source: RNAcentral
AAUUUGGGGGGGUUCCUUGGUAGGUCCCCGAGGGGGGGGCCCCGGGGGGGUAAACGGGCACCCCCAUUUGGGGGGCCGGGGAAAUCCGGAUUAACCCCCCCUGGCAUUUUCCGGCAUCGGGAGGUAGUCAAUUUUUGGGUGGAAUGGCUCGACAUUAGCUAGUGGUGGGGUAACGCCCCACCAAGGCGACGAUGCUAGGGGAUUGAGAGGGAAUCCCCCACAUGGUACUGAGACACGGACCAGAUUCCUACGGGAGGCAGCAGUAAGGAAUAUGGUCAAUGGGGGCAACCCUGAACCAGCCAUGCCGCGUGCAGGACGACUGCCUAUGGGUUGUAAACUGCUUUUGUUAGGGAAUAAACCCCGCUACGUGUAGCGGGCUGAAUGUACCUAAAGAAUAAGGAUCGGCUAACUCCGUGCCAGCAGCCGCGGUAAUACGGAGGAUCCGAGCGUUAUCCGGAUCUAUUGGGUUUAAAGGGUGCGUAGGCGGCACUUUAAGUCAGGGGUGAAAGACGGCAGCUCAACUGUCGCAGUGCCCUUGAUACUGAAGUGCUUGAAUGCGGUUGAAGACGGCGGAAUGAGACAAGUAGCGGUGAAAUGCAUAGAUAUGUCUCAGAACACCGAUUGCGAAGGCAGCUGUCUAAGCCGUUAUUGACGCUGAUGCACGAAAGCGUGGGGAUCGAACAGGAUUAGAUACCCUGGUAGUCCACGCCCUAAACGAUGAUGACUCGAUGUUUGCGAUAUACCGUAAGCGUCCAAGCGAAAGCGUUAAGUCAUCCACCUGGGGAGUACGCCCGCAAGGGUGAAACUCAAAGGAAUUGACGGGGGCCCGCACAAGCGGAGGAGCAUGUGGUUUAAUUCGAUGAUACGCGAGGAACCUUACCCGGGCUUGAAAGUUACUGAAGGGCGCAGAGACGCGCCCGUCCUUCGGGACAGGAAACUAGGUGCUGCAUGGCUGUCGUCAGCUCGUGCCGUGAGGUGUUGGGUUAAGUCCCGCAACGAGCGCAACCCCUAUGUUUAGUUGCCAGCACGUCAAGGUGGGGACUCUAAACAGACUGCCUGCGCAAGCAGAGAGGAAGGCGGGGACGACGUCAAGUCAUCAUGGCCCUUACGUCCGGGGCUACACACGUGCUACAAUGGAUGGUACAGCGGGCAGCUACACAGCAAUGUGGUGCCAAUCUCGAAAAGCCAUUCACAGUUCGGAUCGGGGUCUGCAACUCGACCCCGUGAAGUUGGAUUCGCUAGUAAUCGCGUAUCAGCAAUGACGCGGUGAAUACGUUCCCGGGCCUUGUACACACCGCCCGUCAAGCCAUGAAAGCUGGGGGUACCUAAAGCAUGUAACCGCAAGGAGCGUGG